UACGAAGGGUGCAAGCGUUAAUCGGAAUUACUGGGCGUAAAGCGUGCGUAGGCGGUUGGCUAAGUCAGAUGUGAAAGCCCUGGGCUCAACCUGGGAAUGGCAUUUGAAACUGGCCGGCUAGAGUGUGAUAGAGGAUGGCGGAAUUCCCGGUGUAGCGGUGAAAUGCGUAGAUAUCUGGAGGAACACCGGUGGCGAAGGCGGCAUCCUGGACCAACACUGACACUGAGGAGCGAAAGCCAGGGGAGCAAACAGG
RNAcentral lists this ribosomal RNA (253 nucleotides) under uncultured bacterium. Its description in RNAcentral is "partial 16S ribosomal RNA". It matches the Rfam family "Bacterial small subunit ribosomal RNA", at positions 524 to 776 of the family's 1533-position model. The record is from RNAcentral.